Long non-coding RNA from Symphalangus syndactylus (siamang), 429 nucleotides. RefSeq lists it as uncharacterized. The record is from RefSeq and is a predicted model, not a curated record. Lineage: Eukaryota; Metazoa; Chordata; Mammalia; Primates; Hylobatidae.
ACCCAGCGAAGAAAGGUAUCUCUCCUGGGACCACCUUGGCUCUCCUUCAUGGGAGUGACAUUGCAGCAAGCAGCUCGUUAUUCUUCUGUUCCUGGAAGUAUAUGUUUCAAUAAUGAUCUGCCUUGCGUUCAGCCCACAGAAUAUGGUGAAGAUUUACUGGAACAUAAUGAAAACAGUAGCAACCCCUUUUCCCCAGAAAAGAGGAGUGAGGGUGGUGAUGCGCCAGAGGCAAGAACUUGAUCUAACAGCUGAGUGAUCCAAGUAUGACCACUGUGAAAGGAGAUAUUUGUCAACAGGAUACAUGUCCAUUAGAAACUGGACCAAAGCCAUGGAUUCAUUUGUCAUACUUUCCAAAACAGCCUUGACUGGUAAUGAGUUCUUUGCUCUAGAAACCAAGAUUGGUAUGAAGAAAAGGCCUCUUGACAUAGA